Molecule: transfer RNA, 72 nt
Filed under: Streptomyces phage Warpy
Lineage: Duplodnaviria; Heunggongvirae; Uroviricota; Caudoviricetes; Stanwilliamsviridae
Also listed under: 22 other names
Description: tRNA-Gly
Rfam family: tRNA
About the family: Transfer RNA (tRNA) molecules are approximately 80 nucleotides in length. Their secondary structure includes four short double-helical elements and three loops (D, anti-codon, and T loops).
Source: RNAcentral
UCCGUAGUGGUGAAAUGGUAUCACAUGGCCUUGCCAAGGCUAAAGCGCGAGUUCGAUUCUCGUCUACGGGAC